UUCUAGCAGCUUACAUGAACUCUUCUGUCUAAACGUUCAAAAAGGGGAAGUUAUCCCUGUUCAUUUUCAAGGAGAAGAGGGGCUGUCAGCUGGCAAAAAAGUAGCACUAUGAGGUGAGCAGUCCUCUUCCGUUAAGGAAACUGAGACUUGGGAUGGAUAAAUAUUUGCCGAAGGUUCUAGAAAAGAGAACUGAGGUAAUGCAAAGGAAAAGUAUUUGGGGACUUCCAGUAGCUUCUUGAGCCAACAGAAAUACAGCCAAAUGCCGAAGCAUGGACUUCCUCGCUAAAAUCAACACAUGAAAAUGUGAGCAUUAUCCUGGAUGCCAUUGUGCUAACGCAA
Delphinapterus leucas (beluga whale) is the source of this 339-nucleotide non-coding RNA. NCBI's taxonomy places the organism in Eukaryota, Metazoa, Chordata, Mammalia, Artiodactyla, Monodontidae. The record is from RefSeq and is a predicted model, not a curated record.